AGCAGCCGCGGUAAUUCCAGCUCCAAUAGCGUAUAUUAAAGUUGCUGCAGUUAAAAAGCUCGUAGUUGAAUUUCGGGACCAUCAUGUCGGUCGUGCCUCGGUACGUACUGGCAUUGUUGGUUUCUCCCUUCUGACGAACCAUGAUGUCAUUAAUUUGGUGUCAUGGGGAAUCAGGACUGUUACUUUGAAAAAUUAGAGUGUUUAAAGCAGGCUCACGUUUGAAUACAUUAGCAUGGAAUAAUGAAAUAGGACGUUUGAUUCUAUUUUGUUGGUUUCUAGGAUCGACGUAAUGAUUAAUAGGGAUAGUUGGGGGCAUUAGUAUUCAAUUGUCAGAGGUGAAAUUCUUGGAUUUAUUGAAGACUAACUACUGCGAAAGCAUUUGCCAAGGAUGUUUUCAUUAAUCAAGAACGAAAGUUAGGGGAUCGAAGACGAUCAGAUACCGUCGUAGUC
RNAcentral lists this ribosomal RNA (450 nucleotides) under uncultured Glomeromycotina. RNAcentral's name for it is "SSU rRNA". It matches the Rfam family "Eukaryotic small subunit ribosomal RNA", at positions 569 to 1025 of the family's 1831-position model. Lineage: Eukaryota; Fungi; Glomeromycota. The record is from RNAcentral.